UGUGCCAGCAGCCGCGGUGAUACGGAGGGUGCAAGCGUUAAUCGGAAUUACUGGGCGUAAAGCGCACGCAGGCGGUUUGUUAAGUCAGAUGUGAAAUCCCCGGGCUCAACCUGGGAACUGCAUCUGAUACUGGCAAGCUUGAGUCUCGUAGAGGGGGGUAGAAUUCCAGGUGUAGCGGUGAAAUGCGUAGAGAUCUGGAGGAAUACCGGUGGCGAAGGCGGCCCCCUGGACGAAGACUGACGCUCAGGUGCGAAAGCGUGGGGAGCAAACAGGAUUAGAUACCCUGGUAGUCCACGCCGUAAACGAUGUCGACUUGGAGGUUGUGCCCUUGAGGCGUGGCUUCCGGAGCUAACGCGUUAAGUCGACCGCCUGGGGAGUACGGCCGCAAGGUUAAACUCAAAUGAAUUGACGGGGGCCCGCACAAGCGGUGGAGCAUGUGGUUUAAUUCGAUGCAACGCGAAGAACCUUACCUGGUCUUGACAUCCACGGAAGUUUUCAGAGAUGAGAAUGUGCCUUCGGGAACCGUGAGACAGGUGCUGCAUGGCUGUCGUCAGCUCGUGUUGUGAAAUGUUGGGUUAAGUCCCGCAACGAGCGCAACCCUUAUCCUUUGUUGCCAGCGGUCCGGCCGGGAACUCAAAGGAGACUGCCAGUGAUAAAUUGGAGGAAGGUGGGGAUGACGUCAAGUCAUCAUGGCCCUUACGACCAGGGCUACACACGUGCUACAAUGGCGCAUACAAAGAGAAGCGACCUCGCGAGAGCAAGCGGACCUCAUAAAGUGCGUCGUAGUCCGGAUUGGAGUCUGCAACUCGACUCCAUGAAGUCGGAAUCGCUAGUAAUCGUGGAUCAGAAUGCCACGGUGAAUACGUUCCCGGGCCUUGUACACACCGCCCGUCACACCAUGGGAGUGGGUUGCAAAAGAAGUAGGUAGCUUAACCUUCGGGAGGGCGCUUACCACUUUGUGAUUCAUGACUGGGGUGAAGUCG
This 983-nucleotide ribosomal RNA is filed under the name uncultured Escherichia sp. RNAcentral describes it as "bacterial SSU rRNA". It matches the Rfam family "Bacterial small subunit ribosomal RNA", at positions 504 to 1488 of the family's 1533-position model. The record is from RNAcentral. Lineage: Bacteria; Pseudomonadati; Pseudomonadota; Gammaproteobacteria; Enterobacterales; Enterobacteriaceae.